UACGUAGGGUCCGAGCGUUGUCCGGAUUUAUUGGGCGUAAAGAGCUCGUAGGCGGCUCAGUAAGUCGGAUGUGAAAACUCUGGGCUCAACUCAGAGACGCCACUCGAUACUGUCGUGACUGGAGUCUGGUAGGGGAGUGUGGAAUUCCCAGUGUAGCGGUGAAAUGCGCAGAUAUUGGGAGGAACACCAGUGGCGAAGGCGGCACUCUGGGCCAGUACUGACACUGAGGAGCGAAAGCGUGGGGAGCGAACAGG
RNAcentral lists this ribosomal RNA (254 nucleotides) under uncultured bacterium. RNAcentral's name for it is "partial 16S ribosomal RNA". It matches the Rfam family "Bacterial small subunit ribosomal RNA", at positions 524 to 776 of the family's 1533-position model. The record is from RNAcentral.